RNAcentral lists this unclassified non-coding RNA (252 nucleotides) under uncultured Bacillaceae bacterium. Its description in RNAcentral is "contains 16S-23S intergenic spacer region". It matches the Rfam family "Bacterial small subunit ribosomal RNA", at positions 524 to 776 of the family's 1533-position model. Lineage: Bacteria; Bacillati; Bacillota; Bacilli; Caryophanales; Bacillaceae. The record is from RNAcentral.
UCCGUAGGUGGCAAGCGUUGUCCGGAAUUAUUGGGCGUAAAGCGCGCGCAGGCGGUUCCUUAAGUCUGAUGUGAAAGCCCACAGCUCAACUGUGGAGGGCCAUUGGAAACUGGGGAACUUGAGUACAGAAGAGGAGAGCGGAAUUCCACGUGUAGCGGUGAAUGCGUAGAUAUGUGGAGGAACACCAGUGGCGAAGGCGGCUCUCUGGUCUGUAACUGACACUGAGGCGCGAAAGCGUGGGGAGCGAACAGG